CCUACGGGAGGCAGCAGUGAGGAAUAUUGGUCAAUGGACGCGAGUCUGAACCAGCCAUGUCGCGUGAAGGAAGACGGCUCUAUGAGUUGUAAACUUCUUUUGUACAGGAGUAAAGGGAGACACGUGUGUCUGUUUGUAUGUACCUUAUGAAUAAGGAUCGGCUAACUCCGUGCCAGCAGCCGCGGUAAUACGGAGGAUUCAAGCGUUAUCCGGAUUUAUUGGGUUUAAAGGGUGCGUAGGUGGUCUGUUAAGUUAGUGGUGAAAGUUUGCGGCUCAACCUUGAAAUUGCAAUUGAUACUGGUCGGCUUGAGUGCAGUUGCGGUAGGCGGAAUGCGUGGUGUAGCGGUGAAAUGCUUAGAUAUCAUGCAGAACUCCGAUUGCGAAGGCAGCAUACCAAGCUAACACUGACGCUGAGGCACGAAAGCGUGGGGAUCAAACAGGAUUAGAUACCCCUGUAGUC
RNAcentral lists this ribosomal RNA (460 nucleotides) under uncultured bacterium. RNAcentral's name for it is "partial 16S ribosomal RNA". It matches the Rfam family "Bacterial small subunit ribosomal RNA", at positions 338 to 795 of the family's 1533-position model. The record is from RNAcentral.